RNAcentral lists this ribosomal RNA (253 nucleotides) under uncultured bacterium. RNAcentral's name for it is "partial 16S ribosomal RNA". It matches the Rfam family "Bacterial small subunit ribosomal RNA", at positions 524 to 776 of the family's 1533-position model. The record is from RNAcentral.
UACGUAGGGGGCGAGCGUUGUCCGGAUUUAUUGGACGUAAAGAGCGCGUAGGCGGCCCGUUAAGUCGGAUGUGAAAACCCGUGGCUCAACCACGGGCCUGCAUCCGAUACUGGCGGGCUCGAGGCAGGCAGGGGAGAUCGGAAUUCCUGGUGUAGCGGUGAAAUGCGCAGAUAUCAGGAUGAACACCGGUGGCGAAGGCGGAUCUCUGGGCCUGUCCUGACGCUCAGGCGCGAAAGCUAGGGGAGCAAACAGG